This 443-nucleotide ribosomal RNA is filed under the name uncultured bacterium. RNAcentral's name for it is "SSU rRNA". It matches the Rfam family "Bacterial small subunit ribosomal RNA", at positions 26 to 518 of the family's 1533-position model. The record is from RNAcentral.
AGAGCGAACGCUGGCGGCAGGCCUAACACAUGCAAGUCGAGCGCCCGUAGCAAUACGGGAGCGGCAGACGGGAUAGUAACACGUGGGAACGCGCCCUUCGGUUCGGAAUAACUCAGGGAAACUUGAGCUAAUACCGGAUACGCCCUUACGGGGAAAGAUUUAUUGCCGAAGGAACGGCCCGCGUCCGAUUAGCUAGUUGGUGAGGUAAUGGCUCACCAAGGCGACGAUCGGUAGCUGGUCUGAGAGGAUGACCAGCAUCACUGGGACUGAGACACGGCCCAGACUCCUACGGGAGGCAGCAGUGGGGAAUAUUGGACAAUGGGCGCAAGCCUGAUCCAGCCAUGCCGCGUGGAUGAUGAAGGCCUUAGGGUUGUAAGUCCGUUUUAACGGGGAAGAUAAUGACGGUACCGUAGAAUAGCCCGCUAACUCGUGCCAGCAGCCGC